Molecule: ribosomal RNA, 497 nt
Filed under: uncultured bacterium
Lineage: Bacteria
Description: partial 16S ribosomal RNA
Rfam family: Bacterial small subunit ribosomal RNA
Source: RNAcentral
GAUGAACGCUGGCGGCGUGCCUAAUACAUGCAAGUCGAGCGAACAGACGAGGAGCUUGCUCCUCUGACGUUAGCGGCGGACGGGUGAGUAACACGUGGAUAACCUACCUAUAAGACUGGGAUAACUUCGGGAAACCGGAGCUAAUACCGGAUAAUAUAUUGAACCGCAUGGUUCAAUAGUGAAAUACGGUUUUGCUGUCACUUAUAGAUGGAUCCGCGCCGCAUUAGCUAGUUGGUAAGGUAACGGCUUACCAAGGCAACGAUGCGUAGCCGACCUGAGAGGGUGAUCGGCCACACUGGAACUGAGCCACGGACCAGACUCCUACGGGAGGCAGCAGUAGGGAAUCUUCCGCAAUGGGCGAAAGCUUGACGGAGCAACGCCGCGUGAGUGAUGAAGGUCUUCGGAUCGUAAAACUCUGUUAUUAGGGAAGAACAAAUGUGUAAGUAAAUAUGCACGUCUUGACGGUACCUAAUCAGAAAGCCACGGCUAACUACGUG